This 424-nucleotide ribosomal RNA is filed under the name uncultured bacterium. RNAcentral describes it as "bacterial SSU rRNA". It matches the Rfam family "Bacterial small subunit ribosomal RNA", at positions 355 to 775 of the family's 1533-position model. The record is from RNAcentral.
UGAGGAAUAUUGGUCAAUGGGCGCAAGCCUGAACCAGCCAUCCCGCGUGCAGGAAGACGGCCCUAUGGGUUGUAAACUGCUUUUCCAGGGGGAGAAACUUGCGCACGUGUUGCGCAAUUGACGGUACCCUGGGAAUAAGCAUCGGCUAACUCCGUGCCAGCAGCCGCGGUAAUACGGAGGAUGCGAGCGUUAUCCGGAUUCAUUGGGUUUAGAGGGUGCGUAGGCGGACUAUUAAGUCAGUGGUGAAAUCCUGCAGCUUAACUGCAGAACCGCCAUUGAUACUGAUAGCCUUGAGUUUGGUUAAGGUAGGCGGAAUGUGUAAUGUAGCGGUGAAAUGCUUAGAUGUUACACAGAACACCAAUUGCGUAGGCAGCUUACUGAGCCGACACUGACGCUGAGGCACGAAAGCGUGGGGAUCGAACAG